UUCGGGCUUUGCAGUUUUGGAGUGGAAGGAAGGAGUAGUAAAAUGUGAAAGCAAUGAGCUUUGGGUGGAGCUGGGGAAGGAGGAAGGGAAAGCUUUUUCUUGGUUUCAGUACCGCCCAUUUAUACGCGCCGCUCCCGUCCCGUCUUGUCCUCUCUCUCUCCUCCUCCUCCCUCCUCCCCCAAUCCCUCUCUCUCCCCCAUCACCUCACAGGCACAGUUCUUCUUGUUGUCCUCAUCCACCCCAUCAUCAGCUGGAGCUGGAGCUGGAAUGUUGGUAGGCGCUUAGUCACAUCCGGACCGCCGCAAUGAUGAGCUUCAAGAACCACCACGAGGGAUUUGCGGGGCAGCAGCUGCUCGCCGCCGCCGCCGCCGCCGCGAGCCAGGCCUCCGGAGGGGCGCCGCUGCCCUGGUGGGUUGGGUCCCAGCUGCUGUACGGCGAGCCGAUGGGCCACGGGAAGGCGCCGCCGGCCGUGCCCAUGUCCAUGUCGCCGCCGGAGGAUGCCUGCCGGGACGGCCAGUUCCAGGUCGUGCCGAGGGCCCAGGCGCUGCUGGACGCCGUGCCGCUGCCGCAGCCGCCGAUGGGGGAGAGGGGCAUCCCUGAAGCUCUGAAGUUCUCCAUGGCUCAUGGUAAAGGAGGGAACAGUUCUGAGCACUCUGCCCCGAUCACUCUGCAGUCACCAUUCACAGAAUAUAAUGACCACUUUGAGCUGGGCCUUGGCCAAUCCGUGAUUUCCUCCAACUACUACUCUGAUCAGCAAUAUGGCCUACUUUCUUCUUAUGGAAUGAGAUCAGCGUCUAGCGGGCGUAUGCUUAUACCACUGAACAUGCCUGCUGAUGCGCCGAUUUAUGUGAAUGCAAAGCAAUAUGAAGGCAUCCUUCGUCGCCGUCGUGCUCGUGCCAAGGCAGAGAAGGAGAAUAGGCUGGUCAAGGCCAGAAAGCCAUAUCUUCACGAGUCACGCCAUCUUCAUGCAAUGCGCCGUGCGAGAGGCUCCGGUGGACGCUUCCUCAACACUAAGAAAGAGACCAAUGGAAAAGACACUGGUGUUGGGAGCAAGGCGAUGGUUGGUAACCCGCUUAUGCGGUCAGCUGCAUCUCUCAGUUCAGAGAUCCAGCACUCUGAGCAGGGAAACCCAAGCAGUGUCUCCAGCCUGUCUGGCUCAGAGGUGACAAGCUUGUAUGAUCACGAAGAUGUGGACCACUACCACAACUUUGAGCACCUCCGGACACACUUCUUCACCCCGCUCCCGAGCAUCAUGGACGGUGAGCAUGGGGCCGGCAACCCCUUCAAGUGGGCAGCAGCCUCCGAUGGCUGCUGCAACCUCCUCAAAGCAUGACUUGAGGGGGUGACGGACAGCCGAAAUAUCAAGAGAUGGCGCAAACCGGCAGCAUCUGCCGGCAUUGUGUCCAGCUCCAGGGCAGGGAUCGUCCCUGCCGGUCAUCUGGCUGUCCGUGGGCAAUUCAUUCUUGGCUCAUGGCAUCGGUAGUGCUUUCGCUCAUCGCCUACUUGUCCUUGAAACUUCAGUGCUAGUUUCCAGGAUCCUGUGGUGUGUGGAACACCCCCUUUGCCAUAAAAAAAUUAUUAUCUAGGUAACUACUACUGCUUGCUACCAUCAUCCCACCGUUUCGCGGUAGCAGGCUUAAGUUUCUAUUUGAAUAAAUGUCUGAAACUUCAGACUAGUUGGAAUGGUACUGGAAUCGGAGUUUGUAUGAAGUAUUGUAUCCCUUUUGUUUGGAGAAGUAUUGGAGUAUGUUAAGUAGACUUGGUGAUGUGUUGUAAUAGUUGGCUUGAAGGUUCUCUGUGUAGACUUGGUUUGGUGUUAACACCUGAAUUCAGUGAUGUAUUGAGACUUGGCAUGGUUUGUGAAAUUCUUUAUGCUGUGGUCUGUUAGGUGUUUUGCUUUUUCUGGAAAGGUAAAUUCCAUUUGCCUCACACCUGGAACUGCCAAUUUGCAAGAAGGCAUUGAUGUUUACUUGAUCGGAAACUCGAGGAAAGUGAAUUUGUUUUUGCUAGUUCUUUGUGAUAUAUACGGGAGUAAAUAGUAAUCCUGCAGAAAAAUGAAUAAUAA
This 2065-nucleotide ribosomal RNA is filed under the name Triticum aestivum (bread wheat). RNAcentral describes it as "partial small subunit ribosomal RNA". The record is from RNAcentral. Lineage: Eukaryota; Viridiplantae; Streptophyta; Magnoliopsida; Poales; Poaceae.